RNAcentral lists this ribosomal RNA (460 nucleotides) under uncultured bacterium. RNAcentral's name for it is "partial 16S ribosomal RNA". It matches the Rfam family "Bacterial small subunit ribosomal RNA", at positions 338 to 795 of the family's 1533-position model. The record is from RNAcentral.
CCUACGGGAGGCAGCAGUGAGGAAUAUUGGUCAAUGGACGAGAGUCUGAACCAGCCAAGUAGCGUGAAGGAUGACUGCCCUAUGGGUUGUAAACUUCUUUUUUAUGGGAAUAAAACAGGGUAUGCAUACCCCCUUGUAUGUACCAUAUGAAUAAGGAUCGGCUAACUCCGUGCCAGCAGACGCGGUAACAUGGAGGAUCCGAGCGUUAUCCGGAUUUAUUUGGUUUAAAGGGAGCGUAGGUGGAUUGUCAAGUCAGUUGUGAAAGGUUGGGGUGCAACCGUAAGAUUGCAGUUGAAACUGGCAGGCUAGAGUACAGUAGAGGUGGGCGGAAUUCGUGGUGUAGCGGUGAAAUGCUUAGAUAUCACGAAGAACUCCGAUUGCGAAGGCAGCUCACUGGACUGCAACUGACACUGAUGCUCGAAAGUGUGGGUAUCAAACAGGAUUAGAUACCCCAGUAGUC